This 458-nucleotide ribosomal RNA is filed under the name uncultured bacterium. RNAcentral describes it as "partial 16S ribosomal RNA". It matches the Rfam family "Bacterial small subunit ribosomal RNA", at positions 338 to 795 of the family's 1533-position model. The record is from RNAcentral.
CCUACGGGGGGCAGCAGUGAGGAAUAUUGGUCAAUGGGCGAGAGCCUGAACCAGCCAAGUCGCGUGAGGGAGUACUGCCCUAUGGGUUGUAAACCUCUUUUGUCGGGGAGCAAAAGCCGGACGUGUCCGGCUGUGAGAGUACCCGAAGAAACAGCAUCGGCUAACUCCGUGCCAGCAGCCGCGGUAAUACGGAGGAUGCGAGCGUUAUCCGGAUUUAUUGGGGUUAAAGGGUGCGCAGGCGGAUUUUUAAGUCAGCGGUCAAAUCGUGGGGCUCAACCCCAUCCAGCCGUUGAAACUGGGGAUCUAGAGUGUGCGAGAGGUAUGCGGAAUGCGUGGUGUAGCGGUGAAAUGCAUAGAUAUCACGCAGAACCCCGAUUGCGAAGGCAGCAUACCGGUGCACAACUGACGCUCAGGCACGAAAGCGUGGGUAUCGAACAGGAUUAGAUACCCGGGUAGUC